UUCUAGAAGCAGAACUGACAAGACUGGCAACUGAUUGAAUAGAUGGGAUGAGUGAAAAUGUGUGAGCUGAGGAGCCCAGGGUAACUGAAGUUAUACAGGAUGUACGAGAGCAGAAACAGAAAGCAAAGCAGCUCAAUUCUUCGACUGUGGGGAUUCUGUGAUAGAUAUUUCAAAUCAGAAAGGUCAGAAAAAAUGACUUAUAUAAAUAUACAUAUACAUAUAUAUAUAUAAGAUUAGUCUAUAUAUAGGUUUAUAUAUGUCUGUAUAUAAGAUUAGAGUAAGACAGCACUAAUUGCUCUUAAUUAAUUCACUUGCUUUAAAAUAAAUUACAUCCCCAGACAUUUGAAAGAAUUGGUAGAUGUGAUUGUUGAGCUACCAUCAAUGAUUUCUAAAAGA
Sarcophilus harrisii (Tasmanian devil) is the source of this 396-nucleotide long non-coding RNA. RefSeq lists it as uncharacterized. NCBI's taxonomy places the organism in Eukaryota, Metazoa, Chordata, Mammalia, Dasyuromorphia, Dasyuridae. The record is from RefSeq and is a predicted model, not a curated record. The transcript is spliced from 2 exons.